CACCACCCAUCAGGGCAGCAUUCCCACAGGCAGGAGCAGGGAACGCUCAGCCUGGCAGGACAAACCAGGAGAGCGAUAGUCUGUUGCACGGGAGCUGUCGGCCAUGCUGUUCCAGUUCAGGGGCUCCUGCAACAGAAAAGAUCAGCUGUUGGAGAACCCAUGGAAAGCCCUGGGGGAGAGCCAUGGCCGCAAGGUAAUCAGCAGGCAAAGUUAUUACCAUUAUGCUGCUAAUUAAUUCCCAGCUCAUUACGUUUCCUGUGGCUAAUUUGUACUCGCCGCUGAUUUGAUUAAACUCAUCUCUAUGC
This is a long non-coding RNA of Lepidothrix coronata (blue-crowned manakin), 305 nucleotides long. RefSeq lists it as uncharacterized. The transcript is spliced from 2 exons. The record is from RefSeq and is a predicted model, not a curated record. NCBI's taxonomy places the organism in Eukaryota, Metazoa, Chordata, Aves, Passeriformes, Pipridae.